Molecule: unclassified non-coding RNA, 311 nt
Filed under: Rickettsia sp.
Lineage: Bacteria; Pseudomonadati; Pseudomonadota; Alphaproteobacteria; Rickettsiales; Rickettsiaceae
Description: partial miscellaneous RNA
Source: RNAcentral
AUAGCUCGAUUGAUUACUUUGCUGGAGUUACAUAUGCAUAUAGUGUAAUGCUAUAAGAUGAGAUCAACUCACAAAGUUAUCAGGUUAAAUAGCUUUAUCAACUAAUAAAAAUGUUAUUGCAUAACUCAUGUUAUACUGUAACCCCGCCACGAUAUCCAGCGAAAAUUAUUUUGCUGAGUAUCGUAGUAAAAGUUAAGAUAUGAUAUUAAGAACUUUUGUGAGUUGUGCAACAACAUUAACAGCAAACUAUAAUACAAAUCUAUCUUUUUAAAAGUUUGUAUUGCUAGCUUGGUGGUUAUAGCAUGAGUGAA